Molecule: ribosomal RNA, 532 nt
Filed under: uncultured marine haptophyte
Lineage: Eukaryota; Haptophyta
Description: bacterial SSU rRNA
Rfam family: Bacterial small subunit ribosomal RNA
Source: RNAcentral
GUAAGUCUGUUGUUAAAGACCAGGGCUUAACCCUGGGAAAGCAAUGGAAACUACUAGACUUGAGUAUGGCAGGGGUAGAGGGAAUUUCUAGUGUAGCGGUGAAAUGCGUAGAUAUUAGAAAGAACACCGGCGGCGAAAGCGCUCUACUGGACCAUUACUGACACUCAGAGGCGAAAGCUAGGGGAGCAAAAGGGAUUAGAUACCCCUGUAGUCCUAGCCGUAAACGAUGGAUACUAGAUGUUGCGCAAUUUGUGCAGUAUCUUAGCUAACGCGUUAAGUAUCCCGCCUGGGGAGUACGCUCGCAAGGGUGAAACUCAAAGGAAUUGACGGGGGCCCGCACAAGCGGUGGAGCAUGUGGUUUAAUUCGAUGCAACGCGAAGAACCUUACCAGGGCUUGACAUACUGCGAAUCUUUUUGAGAAAGAAGAGUGCCUUCGGGAAUGCAGAUACAGGUGGUGCAUGGCUGUCGUCAGCUCGUGUCGUGAGAUGUUGGGUUAAGUCCCGCAACGAGCGCAACCCUUGUUUUUAGUUAC